RNAcentral lists this long non-coding RNA (493 nucleotides) under Androctonus crassicauda. The record is from RNAcentral. Lineage: Eukaryota; Metazoa; Arthropoda; Arachnida; Scorpiones; Buthidae.
UAAGCCUACUGGUGCCAAAGGCCAAGGGCUAUACUGGCAGCAUAAUCGAGAUUGCUCAGAGGACAUAUGAGAAAGGAAGACUUGGCUCUCAGUUGAGAACAGCCUGGCAGUGGGCUACAUUCUCAGCAUACUCUGGGACCGGGCUGGGCAGCAGGCAUUUCAGAAUCUCCCAGGAAAACAAUAGCUCUCUGUGCUCCCUGCCAGACAAGCUGACCAGAAGAGCAUCUCUCAUUCCUGAAGGCUAGCUCAGAGCUUCCUGCCCUCCCCUCAUCUAACCCCCAUCCAACUGUGUGGGCAACGUUCAGAGUCCAAGUAGACGGUGUAGAUGGUUCACUAUAAGAGAGUCUGAGAGCCUGUGGGCAUCUGUAGCAGAAAUGGCUAGGACAUCGCAUGGAAUAGUCAUUGUAGUUCAGGUUCCAAGGGACUGUCCCCAGAGAGCCACAUGGCACAGGAAGUACCUCUGCCAUGCUUAGAUACCUGGGAGAAGAACCUC